RNAcentral lists this ribosomal RNA (1479 nucleotides) under uncultured Bordetella sp. RNAcentral's name for it is "partial 16S-23S ribosomal RNA intergenic spacer". It matches the Rfam family "Bacterial small subunit ribosomal RNA". The record is from RNAcentral. Lineage: Bacteria; Pseudomonadati; Pseudomonadota; Betaproteobacteria; Burkholderiales; Alcaligenaceae.
AGUUCGAUUAUGGCUCAGAUUGAACGCUGGCGGGAUGCUUUACACACAUGCAAGUCGAACGGCAGCACGGACUUCCUGGUUCAGUGGCGAGUGGCGAACGGGUGAGUAAUGUAUCGGAACGUGCCUAGUAGCGGGGGAUAACUACGCGAAAGCGUAGCUAAUACCGCAUAAUGCCCUUUCGGGGGAAAGCGGGGGACCUUCGGGCCUCUCGCACUAUUAGAGCGGCCGAUAUCGGAUUAGCUAGUUGGUGGGGUGACGGCUCACCAAGGCGACGAUCCGUAGCUGGUUUGAGAGGACGACCGUCGCCACUGGGACUGAGACACGGCCCAGACCCCUACGGGAGGCAGCAGGGGAACGGACAAUGGGGGGAAACCUCGAUCCAGCCAUCCCGCGUGUGCGAUGAAGGCCUUCGGGUUGUAAAGCACUUUGGCAGGAAAGAAACGGCACGGAUGAAUACCCCAACUCGACGGUACCUGCAGAAUACACCGCCAUCACUACGUGCCAGCAGCCGCGGCAAUGGCGUAGGUGCAAGCGUUAAUCGGAAUUACUGGGCGUAAAGCGUGCGGCAGGCGGUUCGGAAAGAAAGAUGUGAAAUCCCAGAGCUUAACUUUGGAACUGCAUUUUUAACUACCGAGCUAGAGCGUCAGAGGGAGGUGGAAUUCCGCGUGUAGUGGUGAAAUGCGUAGAUAUGCGGAGGAACACCUGGAUGGCGAAGGCAGCCUCCUGGGAUAACACUUAUUCUGCUCAUGCACGAAAGCGUGGAGCAAACAGGAUUAGAUACCCUGCAGUCCACGCCAUAAACGAUGUCAACUAGCUGUUGGGGCCUUCGGGCCUUGGUAGCGCAGCGACUGCGUGAAGUUGACCGCCUGGGAGUACGGUCGCAAGAUUAAAACUCAAAGAAUCGACGGGGACCCGCACAAGCGAUGGAUGAUGUGAAUUAAUCUUGAUGUGAACGCGAAAAACCUUACCUACCCUUGACAUGUCUGGAAUCCCGAAGAGAUUUUUCUGGGAGUGCUCGCAAGAGAACCGGAACACAGGUGCUGUGAUGGCUGUCGUCAGCUCGUGUCGAGAUGUUGGGUUAAGUCCCGCAACGAGCGCAACCUUGUCAUUACGUUGAAAGGGCACUCUAAUGAGACUGCCGGUGACAAACCGGAGGAAGGUGGGGAUGACGUCAAGUCCUCAUGGCCCUUAUGGGUAGGGCUUCACACGUCAUACAAUGGUCGGGACAGAGGGUCGCCAACCUGCGAGGGGGAGCCGGAUCCAGAAACCCGAUCGUAGUCCGGAUCGCAGUCUGCAACUCGACUGCGUGAAGUCGGAAUCGUUAGUAAUCGCGGAUCAGCACGUCGCGUGAAUACGUUCCGGGUCUUGUACACCGCCCGUCACACCAUGGGAGUGGGUUUUACCAGAAGUUAGCCUAACCGCAAGGAGGGCGAUUACCACGGUAGGAUUCAUGACUGGGGUGAAGUCGUAACAAGGUAA